This 546-nucleotide ribosomal RNA is filed under the name Chrysoporthe deuterocubensis. RNAcentral describes it as "eukaryotic LSU rRNA". The stretch from base 199 to 352 matches the Rfam family "5.8S ribosomal RNA". The record is from RNAcentral. Lineage: Eukaryota; Fungi; Ascomycota; Sordariomycetes; Diaporthales; Cryphonectriaceae.
UGCGCCCCCCCACGGGCGCAACCCCAGAUACCCUUUGUGAACUUAUACCUUUUUAUCGUUGCCUCGGCGCCGAGCCGGGAGUGCUCUUCUGUGCUCCCCCACCGCGCAAGCAGUGGAGCAGGCCCGCCGGCGGCCCACCAAACUCUUUGUUUUUAGAACGUAUCUCUUCUGAGUGUUUAUAACAAACAAAUGAAUCAAAACUUUCAACAACGGAUCUCUUGGUUCUGGCAUCGAUGAAGAACGCAGCGAAAUGCGAUAAGUAAUGUGAAUUGCAGAAUUCAGUGAAUCAUCGAAUCUUUGAACGCACAUUGCGCCCGCUGGAAUUCCAGCGGGCAUGCCUGUUCGAGCGUCAUUUCAACCCUCAAGCCUGGCUUGGUGUUGGGGCACUGCCUGUUUUACAGCGGGUAGGCCCUGAAAUUUAGUGGCGGGCUCGCUAAGACUCUGAGCGUAGUAGUUUUUAUCACCUCGCUUUGGAAGGAUUAGCGGUGCUCUUGCCGUAAAACCCCCCCCCUCUUCUUCUGAAAUUUGACCUCGGAUCAGGUAGAA